RNAcentral lists this ribosomal RNA (199 nucleotides) under Caloplaca chlorina. RNAcentral describes it as "partial 18S ribosomal RNA". Lineage: Eukaryota; Fungi; Ascomycota; Lecanoromycetes; Teloschistales; Teloschistaceae. The record is from RNAcentral.
GGGCAGGCGACAUUCGCCUGGAGCUGGAAGCUUCGCCCCGGGUCCACGGGGGGNAACGACCAGNUGCUGUAUGCCCAAGCCGUGCAGUUCACANAUCAAACGCGAGUGGCCUGCGCCCGCAGGUUAAGAUAUGACCGUAGCANCUCUGCGAAGAGUCUGACACUNUAGUUCCGUAGGUGAACCUGCGNAAGGAUCAUUA